GUGAGGGUGUGAGGGUCGCGCUCCUGCUGUCUGGACUUUUUCUGUCCUACUGAGACGCGGCCGACAUGAGAUGAUGAACCUCGAGUACCACCCCAAACAACAAGGCUGCUUCAUCAGGACACAAACCUACCUGUACCAGGAUCUCUGAUCUGUGUGCAGCAGAGACACUGAGGAUACCAUUGGCAUCAAUGUCAAAAAUGACUUCAAUCUCAGGAACACCUCGGGGUUCAGGAGGUACGCCUGUGAAUUCAAACUUGCCAAGCAGGUUGUUAUCCUUGGACAUGGCACGCUCACCUUCAUAAACCUGAAUUAGCACACCAGGCUGGUUGUCAGAAUAGGUAGUGAAGGUCUGUGUCUGCUUGGUAGGAAUGGUGGUAUUACGGUUGAUGAGGAUGGUCAUGACUCCACUAGCAGUUUCAAUACCAAGGGAAAGAGGAGUGACAUCCAAGAGCAGCAAAUCUUGAACAUUUUCAGACUUGUCUCCAGACAGGAUGGCUGCCUGGACAGCCAUAAGCAACAGCUUCAUCAGGGCUGAUGCUCUUAUUCAGUUCUUUUCCAUUGAAGAAGUCUUGGAGAAGCUUCUGAAUCUUGGGGAUACUAAUAGAACCACCAACCAGGACAAUAUCAUGAAUUUGUGACUUGUCUGGUUUGGCAUCUUGAAGGGCUUUCUCUACUGGGUCCAGGGUGUCACAGAACAGGUCAGCAUUCAGUUCUUCAAAUUGGGCACAGGUAAUGGAGGUAUAGAAGUCGAUUCCUUCAUAGAGAGAAUCGAUCUCAAUACUGGCCUGGGUGCUGGAAGAGAGAGUACGCUUAGCACGUUCACAAGCAGUAUGGAGGCAUCUUACAGCUCUCUUGCUCUCACUGAUGUCCUUCUUAUGCUUGCGCUUGAACUCAGCAAUAAAAUGGUUGACCAUUCAGUUGUCAAAAUCUUCUCCACCCAAGUGGGUGUCUCCGGCUGUAGACUUGACCUCAGAGAUUCCAUCCUCAAUAGUGAGGAUUGACACAUCGAAAGUGCAACCUCCCAGGUCAAAGAUAAGCACGUUUCUUUCCGCUCCAACCUUUUUGUCUGAGCUUUUGUAAGCAAUAGCAGCAACAGUUGACUCAUUAAUAAUUCUAAGUACAUUGAGACCAGCAAUAGUUCCAGCAUCUUUGAUAGCCUGAGGCUGAGAGUCACUAAAGUAAGCUGGCACUGUGACCACAGCAUUGGUAACAGUCUUCCCAAGGUAGGCUUCUGCAAUUUCCUUCAUCUUUGUCAGAACAAUAGAGGAUAUCUCCUCUGGAUAGAAGCUUUUGGUCUCUCCCUUGUAUUCUACUUGGACCUUGGGUCUGCCAGCAUCAUUCACCACUAUGAAGAGCCAAUGCUUCAUAUCAGACUGGACAACAGCAUCAUCAAAUCUGCAUCCAAUCAGACGUUUGGCAUCAAAAACUGUGUUAGUGGGGUUCAUUGCAACUUGAUUCUUUGCAGCAUCACCGAUCAACUGUUUAGUGUCUGUAAAGGCGACAUAGCUUGGAGUGGUUCGGUUUCCCUGAUCAUUGGCAAUUAUCUCUACUUUUCCAUGCUGGAAAACACCCACAUAAGAGUAGGUGGUGUCAAGAUCAAUACCAACUGCAGGUCCCUUGGACAUGGUUGCUGGCGUGUAGCCCCGGCUCCGAUAGAGAAGAAAGCCACAGGAACCCAAGAGCUGCAGGCGAAUUCAAUGAGCUAGGAUUUCUUAAUAUAUAUGUGAUAAUGUUUUCACUUUGAUAAUUGACUUUUAUAAUGACUUGAGUAGUCUUAAAUUGUCUUUCAUUUAAAACUUUUGUUCUUUUAAAAAAGCACCAAGUCUAUGCUACUAACAAAAAUUUCCUUUUACCAUGUAGACUACUUGGGAUGAAAAUAACUUUUCAUAAUUACUAUCAUGAAGGCAGGAGAGUGGAAAGUUGCCAGAUACUGCAGCAAGGUAUAAAGAUGAAUUCUUCAAAUGAGGAAGCAAACUUUAUCAAGUGGUUGAAUUUCUUAGAUCACCCUGUUGGACAUAAUUUCUUAUAAACAAAUUGUGCAAUCAGUGUCAUGUUCAUGCAAAGAGUCUUUUAACUUAAAAUUCAUUACAGAUAACACUUUCAAAAAGAAGUUCUGUAGUCUUGCAUACUAUUUACCACACCGUAUUUACUGCACUUAGCUUCAUUAUGGAGGAAAGAACAAUAGUAAACCAUCAAUAACUGAGACAAUGAUCAUAUUCAUUGGUGAUGAGUCAAACAGGUUAUACUUAUUUUUUAAAAUAAAAACAUUUGUAAUUUUUUCCCUAUGUUUUUAAAACAGUUUAACAAUAGCAAUUCUGUUAUUUUAGCUUUAAUUUUUUGUACCAACAGUUAAUUUGCUCAUGCCCAAAGAUUUAUAUUUAUAAAAAAUGUUCUGCCAUGCAAAUUUUAAGAGAUUUUUGAAUUGUUGACAAUACUCAGCACAGUCACGUCUCUCAUAAAUCCACCCAAACUUAGGAACCAAUUUUCAGCGCAACUCAUGAAGACAAAGAAUAGCCAUUGUAAACACAUUGUUGAAAAUCAUUUAAAAAAUCAUUUAAUUUUUUUGCAUUUAAUAUUUUUUCAGCUUUCUUAAGAUAUAAUUAACAAAAAUUGUAUAUAUUCAAGUUGUGUUAUGUGAGGUUUUGAUACAUGUAUACAUACUAAAAUAAUUACCACAAUUAAGCUAAUUAUACUAUACAUAGUAAAAUAAUUACCACAAUCAAGCUAAUUCAUGUAUUUAUUAUCACACAUAAUUCUUUUUCUUGGUGUGAUGAGAAUACUUAAGAUCUACUCUCUUAGAAAAUUUCAGGUGUAUAAUACAUUAUUAUUAACCAUAGUUGCCAUGCUAUACAUUAGGGCUCCAGAACUUAUUCAUUUCAUAACUUCAAGUUAUAAAAGUCACUAUAAAAGUUUGUACCUUUUGCAAGUUUGUACCUUUUGAUGAACAUAUUCCCAUUUUCCUCAGUCCCCUGCACCUGGAAACCACCCUUCUAAACUGUUGAUAUGAGUUCACCUUUUUUUAGAUUCCACAUGUAAGUGAGAUCAUGCAGUGCUUGUGUUUCUGUGUCUGGCUUAUUUCACUUAGCAUAAAGUCUUCCAAGUUCA
This 3105-nucleotide long non-coding RNA is filed under the name Pongo abelii (Sumatran orangutan). RNAcentral's name for it is "lincRNA". Lineage: Eukaryota; Metazoa; Chordata; Mammalia; Primates; Hominidae. The record is from RNAcentral.